GUGGCACAAAUGGUUAAGCACUCGGCUGCCAACUGAAAGGCUGGUGGUUCAAAUCCACCC
RNAcentral lists this transfer RNA (60 nucleotides) under Loxodonta africana (African savanna elephant). The record is from Rfam by way of RNAcentral. Lineage: Eukaryota; Metazoa; Chordata; Mammalia; Proboscidea; Elephantidae.